AACGAACGCUGGCGGCAUGCCUAACACAUGCAAGUCGAACGAAGCCUUCGGGCUUAGUGGCGCACGGGUGCGUAACGCGUGGGAAUCUGCCCCUUGCUUCGGAAUAACAGUUAGAAAUGACUGCUAAUACCGGAUGAAGUCUUCGGACCAAAGAUUUAUCGGCAAGGGAUGAGCCCGCGUAGGAUUAGGUAGUUGGUGGGGUAAAGGCCUACCAAGCCGACGAUCCUUAGCUGGUCUGAGAGGAUGAUCAGCCACACUGGGACUGAGACACGGCCGACUCCUACGGGAGGCAGCAGUGGGGAAUAUUGGACAAUGGACGCAAGUCUGAUCCAGCAAUGCCGCGUGAGUGAUGAAGGCCUUAGGGUUGUAAAGCUCUUUUACCAGGGAUGAUAAUGACAGUACCUGGAGAAUAAGCUCCGGCUAACUCCGUG
This 431-nucleotide ribosomal RNA is filed under the name uncultured bacterium. Its description in RNAcentral is "partial 16S ribosomal RNA". It matches the Rfam family "Bacterial small subunit ribosomal RNA", at positions 29 to 507 of the family's 1533-position model. The record is from RNAcentral.